GAUCCUGGCUCAGGAUGAACGCUAGCUACAGGCUUAACACAUGCAAGUCGAGGGGCAGCAUGAAAGGAACUUCGGUUCUUUUGAUGGCGACCGGCGCACGGGUGCGUAACGCGUAUCGAACCUGCCGUCAUACUCGGGGAUAGCCUUGCGAAAGUAAGAUUAAUACCCGGCGGUCUCGGAUGGCCGCGAUGACUAUCCGAGUGAAGAUUUAUCGGUAUGAGAUGGCGAUGCGUCCCA
RNAcentral lists this ribosomal RNA (237 nucleotides) under uncultured bacterium. RNAcentral's name for it is "partial 16S ribosomal RNA". It matches the Rfam family "Bacterial small subunit ribosomal RNA", at positions 15 to 240 of the family's 1533-position model. The record is from RNAcentral.